AGUUAAAAAGCUCGUAGUUGGAUAUCUGCUGGAAGCAAUCAGUCCGCCCUUUUAGUGAGGGUGUGUACUUGAUGAAUUCUGGCAUGAUCAUCAUCCUAAUAAUAAUAUUAUAUUAGGCUGAUUCCUAAUAUAAUGAUUACUAUUGGGAUGUGACAGUUACUUUGAGAAAAUUAGAGUGUUUGAAGCAGGCUUAUUGUUGCCUUGAAUACUGCCGCAUGGAAUAACAAUAUAGGAUUUCGGUUCUAGGUUUGUUGGUUUCUAGGACUGAAAUAAUGAUUAAUAGGGACAGUUGAUGGCAUUCGUAUUUAACUGUGGGAGGUGAAAUUCUUAGAUUUGUUAAAGACGAACUACUGCGAAAGCUAUUUGCCAAAGAUGUUUUCAUUAAUCAAGAACGAAAGUUAGGGGCUCGAAGACGAUCAGA
Molecule: ribosomal RNA, 421 nt
Filed under: Sarcocystis buffalonis
Lineage: Eukaryota; Apicomplexa; Conoidasida; Eucoccidiorida; Sarcocystidae
Description: bacterial SSU rRNA
Rfam family: Eukaryotic small subunit ribosomal RNA
Source: RNAcentral